Molecule: long non-coding RNA, 518 nt
Filed under: Nicotiana benthamiana
Lineage: Eukaryota; Viridiplantae; Streptophyta; Magnoliopsida; Solanales; Solanaceae
Description: long non-coding RNA (NBEN_LNC002674)
Source: RNAcentral
GAAAGGGCAGAGAGGCUGUUUCCAAUCGACCCUCGGCUCAGUGAAGGAAAGGAAAAAACAAACAAAAGCAAAAGAGCAUUAGUAAGUCCAGUAGAGAUAGCGUAAAUAAUUAUCUAAACGUAAGAACCAUAAAUAAAUAGCAUACAAUAGUAUCAUACAGUAACUACCAUAAAUAGCUACCAUAAGGGAGAAAUUAGAACAGAAAGUGAACUGAAAAUAAAUUAUUUUGUAUUUGAAUUAACAAUCUUGGAAUAAUCAGCUCUUUUACAGUGAUAACAACUUUAAGGAUAUCUCAGUACAACUCAAUAGCCUUUUUUUCAGUUUCAGUACUUCUAUCCAAACACGUAACGUCUUAUUUACGAAUCUAGCUCCAGCACUUCAAAAGAAGUGCGUCAAUUGGUUAUAACCUACUUUUUUCCAGCUAAUCCAAACGGGAUCUUAGUUUUAGAGUACAAUGAAAUAAAAUCAAUAUUUUCAGAACCUUAAAUUAAGUGAACUUAAUGUGUGUGAUUUUUUUA